Non-coding RNA from Schistosoma margrebowiei, 78 nucleotides. The record is from Rfam. Lineage: Eukaryota; Metazoa; Platyhelminthes; Trematoda; Strigeidida; Schistosomatidae.
AGCUUUUUGAAUCCGUGCUGAAAUCUCGUCAGACACUAACCCAUAAGGGCUGACUAGACUGACACGAUAAGUGAAGUU